RNAcentral lists this long non-coding RNA (2828 nucleotides) under Sus scrofa (pig). RNAcentral describes it as "lncRNA (ENSSSCG00000046098.2)". Lineage: Eukaryota; Metazoa; Chordata; Mammalia; Artiodactyla; Suidae. The record is from RNAcentral.
UGCUCCCCUGCUCUUUGGGCUCCAGCCAUGUGGCCUUGCAGUCGUCCCACUUUCCAGGAGCCACUGACAGGCCCUCCCUUCUGCCUGAGCAUUGACUUCCCACCCCUCACCUUCCUGGGACACCUCCAUCUCUUCGUCAUCCCUUUAUCAGGGAUGCUUUCCCCCCCACCCCCGCAAUGGGCAGUUCUCCCCUUGUGCACUCACAGCACUUACUAUGGUGUGCUAUUUUAUUGCUGUGAUUCUCUGUCCAUUUCCUUACCUAGACCUAAGGUCCAUAGAUAGGGACUCUGUCUUUCUUCACUGGUCUUUGUAUCUUAACUAUGGUGGCAGGCCCAUAGCAGCCAUCGAAUAAAUAUUUGUUGAAUGAAUGAAUAAAUCACUAGUAAGAAACAGUGCUGAGUUCUGAAGAUCAACGUUAAUAACCAAUUACCUAGCACCGUUAUUGCCACCUAGUGGAGACUGAUGUUACGAUACCGCUGGGCCCAUUCUCAGUCGAUUGCCCUUUAUAGACAUCUGUUGUACUCCUGGCCCAGAAGGGAAUCAAUACAUGAAUAAUAGAUUCUUGGUGCGGUAUUAUAGCAGGCACUUCUCAACAUUGCCUACUUGAUGUCUGAGCAAAGGGCAUGUAAGCUGCCUUCCCCAGAGUCACGAGCUAAGGGGGAGACUUGUAAUUCAGCACCAGGUUAGAGAGCCUAGCCCCACUACUUCUGUGUUUUCUGCCAUUUGUUACAUGGAAUGUACCCAUAAGAAAACUAGAAUCAUUGUAGUGGUUGCAGAGGGCCUGAACAAAACUCGCUUUAAUGGAAGAAAAUAUAUUUUGUAGCUAGAGAAUGUACUAUGGGGCUCUUGGAAUUUCAUCAACACAUGAGAAUUCCCAGACGAGUGCUCACUGGUUAUGCGCAACCGAAGACCGGUGAAUGUUCUCAUUUGAAGGCCCCAGGACAAUUCUAUAUGCAGUAUUGCUGGAUGGCUCACAGAUCUCAGCAUAUUUUUCCUAGGCUUUUUGAUUUUCUGGCCCAGGAAGUGCUGGUCUUCAAAUCUCUGCAAGGUUUUAGGUCAUUUAUGAAGUAAUUCCUUUUUUUUUUUGGCUACACCUAAGGCAUGCAGAAGUUCCAGGGCCAAGAAUUGAACCCACAUCACAGCAGCAACCUGCUACUGCAGUGACAAUGCCAGAUCCUUAAACUGCUGAGCCACAAGAGAACUUGAGGGUGAAUCGAGCUGUAGCUGCCAGCCUACGCCAGAGCCACAGCAACGGGGAUCCGAGCCGCAUCUGCAACCUACACCACAGCUCGCAGCAACGCCGGAUUGUUAACCCACUGAGCAAGGCAGGGACCGAACCCGCAACCUCAUGGUUCCUAGUCGGAUUCGUUAACCACUGCGCCACGACUGGAACUCCUGCUGUCAUUUCUUGCUGGGUAUGUGCACCUGUCUCUUCCUGGUCCAGCCUCCUCAUAGAAGCCAGAGCCCUCCUGACACACAGGUUAGGUGAUGUGCAGUAUAAAUAUUUCACAAUAUUUAUUCUCAUGGAAUAAAACUCCUUCUUUAGCAAGGUGCCUGAGUUUUUGUUUCUGGCCCCUGCUUACCUCUCCAUCCUCUUCUCUCCAGUGCGGUUUUUGAUUUUUGACAUCCUGAACUUUCUGCCUGGAGUGUCCUUGUGUCACUUCUUUGCCUAAUUCCUUUUCAUCUUUUUUAGCAUAAGGAUAAGUCUUUAUGUAACUGUGUAAUUCUGGCAUGUAUAAGUUUAUGGAAUGUUUGGACAAACGUGGGAAUGAAUAAAUGAAUAAAUAAGUAUAAAGAAAAUGGAUUUCUAAAAAUUGUGGUAAAAUACAUGUAACACAAAAUUUACCAUCUUAACUAUUUUUUAGUGUAGAGUUCAGUGACAUUAAGUACAUUCACAUUUUUCUAUAACCAUCACCACCAUCCAUCUCCAGAAUGUUUUUUUCUUGUGGAAACUGAAACUUAGUACCCAUUAAAUGCUAACUCUUCAUUUCCCCCUCCCCCUAAACCCUGGCAGCUACCAUUCUACUUUGUUUCUACAAGUUUGACUACUCCAGAUUCUUCAUAUGAUGGAAUUAUACAGUAUUUGCCCUUUUGUGACAGGCUUGUUUCACUUAGCAUAAUGUCCUCAAAUUUCACCCAUUACAUUGUUGAGUAUGUCAGAAUUUCCUUGCUAUUUAAGGUCGAAUGAUAUUCCGUUGCACGUAUAGACCAUUAUUUUGUUUAUGCUUUCAUGUAUUGUUUGUACAAAGAUGUAAUUUGUAGCAUUGUUUGAAAUAGUGAAAGGUUGUAAGCCAUCUAAAAGUCAUGUGAGCAUUUCUGCUGGGCACAGUGGGUUAAGAAACCAUCAGUAGCAGCUUGGAUCACUGCAGAGGCACAAGUUCAAUGCCCGGCCUGGUGCAGUGAGUUAAAGGAUCUGGCGUUGCUGCAGCUGUGGUGGAGGUCACAGCUGUGGCUUGGAUUCAAUCUCUGGCCCAGGAACUUCCAUAGACUGCAGGUGUGGCCAUAAAAGUAAGUAAAUAAAAAUAAAUAAAUAUCCAUGUGUAGGGGAUUAGUGAUGUAAAAUAACCUUACAGUAGAAAACUGUGUAGCAGUGAUAAAGAAUGGGGCUUCCCAUCGUGGCUCAGUGGAAAGAAAUCUGACUCAUAUCCAUGAGGAUGCAGGUUCGAUUCCUGGCCUUGCCUUGCUUAGUGUGUUAAAGGAUCCAUUGUUGUGGUGAGCUGUGGUGUAAGUCGCAGACACGGCUUGGAUCUGGCGUUGCUGUGGCAUAGGCUGGCACCUGCACCUCCGUAGCCUGGGAACUUCCAUAUGCCUCGGGUGUGGCCCUAAAA